UAGUUUAUCAUCAUGAUGUUGAC
This 23-nucleotide microRNA is filed under the name Gallus gallus (chicken). RNAcentral describes it as "microRNA Ros-gga". The record is from RNAcentral. Lineage: Eukaryota; Metazoa; Chordata; Aves; Galliformes; Phasianidae.